CCUGCCUCCUGAGUGCUGGGAUUAAAGAUGUGUGCCCCACCACCCAUUGUUUGUGUAUUUUUGAGGCCAAGUCUCACUGUGUAGACCAGGCUGGCUCUACACUCACAGAGCGAUGCGAGGCCUCUCGCCUCCGCCACCCCAUUGCCACCAAGCCUGGCAGUGCCUCUGGGUUCUGUGCGGCAAAAGUGGAAGAAGAAACCACUGAUUCCACCACCUUACAACCAACCAACCCUGCAAGGAAGGCACACAGGUCAACAGAAGUCUCCUGCCUCCUCCGUGGAUGUGUGUUCUGCCUGCUCAGCCCGGGCCAGAGGGGCCUGGGGCUGCGGAAGUAGUCACGGCCAGGGAGAGAUCUCAGUCCGCUGUCCUUCCCUGGACCCCGAGACUGGGGAAAGGCCUCUUUGACUCGGCUCUCCCGGUGCCACACUCACUCGCUGGCCCUGCUUGGCUCUUCCUUUGGUCCAGGCGGAACUAGAGGUCUUUAAGCCUGAGCCACUCGUGAGGAGCCAUCCCCACUGAACAGAUCAUCCCCCUGCGGCAGUACACUCCCUGCUGUCUGUCAUCGUCGGGGAAGCGAUGGGACAGUGUGUCCUCUGAUCCACAGAACAUGCUGCGUUAGGACCUCCCAGCAACCUGAUGGUGAGCACAGAGCCCCCACCCGCCUUUCCCGUGUGCACCACCUACUUUCCCUGCCCCCACCACCCGCCUUCCUCGGGUCCACCUCCGGGUGCCCACCACCCACCUGCCCCGUGGCCUUCCCGGCAGGGCUUCCUCUUACACACAAACCAUUCCCUGUGGGUUUGGUGUGCAGAAUGUCUGGAGUUGAGACAGAAAACGUCAGGGCACGGCUGUUUCAUUUCAACAAAAGACGAUGUCUAAAGCGAACUUAACAUAAAUCCUUUCACCCUCCCUUUAUCUGACCAAAUAACUACUCAGAAACCUAAAGCACAAACUAUUGUAGCUCUUCUCUCAAAGCCUCAGACGUAGGGACUGCCUGGAGCGUUCUGGAAGGUUCCCAUGGAUGGAGGUACUCUGCUGAGAUCCUGGGAUGUUUGCUGUGAGCUUGACCUCCAUUGGAAGGCAUGGUGCCAGACUAGAUGCCCUGUCACUGAGCCACACAUUAGCCCGACAAUGCAUCUUUGUUUAUGAAGGACCAAGUUACCCACAGGCUUGGCACUUGUUCCACCCCCAUGCUGAGUGAGAGAUUAAUUUAGAAGGAAUCCUGUCCGAACAUUACACCCUACUUCAUUUCUUAACAUUCUAACUUCCUUGUAUGAACUGUGAUUAUUAAGGAAAUUAAUAAACCUACAGUUCUAACCA
Non-coding RNA from Myodes glareolus (Bank vole), 1320 nucleotides. The record is from RefSeq and is a predicted model, not a curated record. Lineage: Eukaryota; Metazoa; Chordata; Mammalia; Rodentia; Cricetidae.